This is a non-coding RNA of Mycena galopus ATCC 62051, 100 nucleotides long. The record is from the annotation of a GenBank genome assembly. Lineage: Eukaryota; Fungi; Basidiomycota; Agaricomycetes; Agaricales; Mycenaceae.
UGCCCCCUGGCCCAGUUGGUUAAGGCGCACGACUGUUAACAAUUACGUGAUUACGUAAGCGCAAAUCGUGAGAUCGAGAGUUCGAGCCUCUCGGGGGCAG